GGCGUCGUGGCCGGCGGCUAGGCACCGGUCUGCAAAACCGUCUACCCCGGUUCGAAUCCGGGCGAUGCCU
This 70-nucleotide transfer RNA is filed under the name Flavobacterium piscinae. RNAcentral's name for it is "tRNA-Cys". It matches the Rfam family "tRNA". From Rfam's summary of the family: Transfer RNA (tRNA) molecules are approximately 80 nucleotides in length. Their secondary structure includes four short double-helical elements and three loops (D, anti-codon, and T loops). Further hydrogen bonds mediate the characteristic L-shaped molecular structure. tRNAs have two regions of fundamental functional importance: the anti-codon, which is responsible for specific mRNA codon recognition, and the 3' end, to which the tRNAs corresponding amino acid is attached (by aminoacyl-tRNA synthetases). tRNAs cope with the degeneracy of the genetic code in two manners: having more than one tRNA (with a specific anti-codon) for a particular amino acid; and 'wobble' base-pairing, i.e. permitting non-standard base-pairing at the 3rd anti-codon position. Lineage: Bacteria; Pseudomonadati; Bacteroidota; Flavobacteriia; Flavobacteriales; Flavobacteriaceae. The record is from RNAcentral.